Non-coding RNA from Oryctolagus cuniculus (rabbit), 2317 nucleotides. Lineage: Eukaryota; Metazoa; Chordata; Mammalia; Lagomorpha; Leporidae. The record is from RefSeq and is a predicted model, not a curated record.
AGGAGGGGCUGCACCGUUGAACAGCUCUGCUGUCCGCCAGCCGCGGGUGAUGCUUCCCGUCUUCACAGGACUCGGGUGGGAAACGGCUCGUCCUCGGAACGCUCCACACGCAGACCUAGAGGAAGGGCCUCGGCUGCCUGCUGGGGGAGACCACGCGCUACACUGCCGUUGCAGGAGGUCGGUCACUGGUCCUGGCUCUGCAGGUCCCAGCUGGAUGAGAGUCAGUGCGGGAGGUGAGAUCGACUGCAGAGGAAGGGAGCAGCGAGGCACUGAUGCUGACUCCGUCCCGCGGGCCCACGUCGGACGCAACAGGAAGCAGCAGGCCGUCUGCAGACCAGGACGUCACGUAGACAUGCCCGAAACAGCCAGGGCCGUGCCGGGCUGAAGCCAGGGGCCAGGAACUCGCUCCGGGUCCGACGCGAGCGGUGGGAACCCAGCUGCUGGAGCCAUCAGCACGUCCCGCAUUAGCAGCAUCCGGAGUCAGAGCUGGCAACCAAGUUCAGGUUCUCUGCCGUGGACGUGGACGUCUUAGCCGCUAGGCUAAAUAUUCACUCCUCUUAGACAUUUUUAAUGCUUGUCAGGGUUGUAUUUUACAAAUAGCCAGCUGUACACUUGCCACCAUGUCUGUUAGAUUCGAAUUGGUGUUAAGUGGCUUAGAAGUCUUCUUAUGGUCCGUUUUGAAGAGAAGACAUUUUUGAUUUUAUUUUGUCUGCUUUUUAAAAGAUUUAUUUAUUUAUUUGAAAGUCAGAGUUAUAGAGAGAAGGAGAGACAGAUCCUCCACCCACUGGUUCACUCUCAAUUUGGCUGCAAUGGGCAGGGCUGGACCAGGCCGAAGCCGGGAGCUUCCUCCAGGUCUCCCACAUGGGUAGCAGGGCCCAAGCACUUGGGCCACCUUCCACUGCUUCUCUCAGGCCAUUAGCAGGGAGCUGGAUGGGAAGUGGAGCAGCCAGGACACGAGCCGAUGCCCAUAUAGGAUGCUGGCACUACAGGCGGUGACUUAACCUGCUAUGCAGCUAUGCUGGCCCUGAAUUCACAUGUUUUAACAAAGUAAAAUAAGUAAUGAUAGCAGACUAAUAACAAGUCAUAUAUUUAGACGUGAAAAUGCAUUUAAGAAAACCCUGUGGGUUAAAGAGUCACGUUACACAGAAUUGAUAACGUCACACUGUACGGCGCCGCAAACACUACACUGGGACUUGAACGGUGCAGCUGGAAGAGAAAACGCCACCCUCAAUGCUGCAUACGAUAGAAAAUGAGGGCGCUUUUCUUUACAAUAAAUGUGACUUUAUCCUAUAUGCUCUCACUAAAUGCUCUCCAUGAAUGGGUAUACCCGGAUUUUGCAUUUUUUGCACCAAAAUAAACCCAAUCAUCCACUUGUCCUGCACUGUCUGAAGCAGCAUUGAACUGACUCAUUUAAUCCUGGAAGCAGCCCCCGUCACGUGGGCACGCUACUCUCCCCGGGUUUCCUGGUGAGACCUGGACUCUCCCAGCUUCCGCUCAGCGGCUCUGGCACAGGCAGACUCCGCGCGUGGCCGAGGCGUCCGCUGCUCUGCUCUGCGCAGGAGUUUAGUUCUGACCGCGAAUGCGCUGGGUCCACAGCGACUGAGAGCAGCGUCACCUUCGCAGCAGUGGGUCCUCGCCUCCUCGGGGGACGCCCUCCCUCCAGCUGUUCAUGCCCUUUCAAACCCCGCCCAGGACUUCCUCUGUGGCUUUCGCACGGAGGACUGGGAGUUACUCUUACACACGGAUGCCCCAUCUUUGUGAAUGCUGUUGUCACUAAGUUCACUGCGUUUCCAUAGUUAGAGAAAUGCCCGCUUUUUAUGUGCACACUUGCCAGGAACUCUUAGCAGCUGUGAUAACCUUUCUGCAGCUCAUUUGCACCUCCUGACUUUACAAUUCUACAUCUGCAGAUGCGCUUCCUCCUUCUCUAUUUUCACGCCUCCCUUUUGUGGCUCCCUUUUUGUGCCUGUUAGACGGGACGAUGGCGGCUUCCUUGUCCUGCUGCAGAGGGAAAGCUUUCAAUGUGUCGCUGUCAAGCUCUAAGAAAGGCAAGACACGCUGGCUUUACAGCAUCGCCUGUUCAGGGGGCACCAGUGGGAAUGCUCUGCUUUGCCUCAGCCCGUCCUAGCCGUGGCUGCUUAAAAGCCAUGAUCACCAAGUGACCGUGAGAUGGCAAACGCUACUGACUGCGGAACGGGCGUGCGAGUGAACAGACUUGCUCCAACCUCCGGGGAGUGUUCCUCUGCUGGAUUCUCUGGCUUUGUGCCUUGCCCCGCCCCCACCACAUGCCCGGCCAGGACAGGUUCUCGUUUCCCAUCCU